Molecule: long non-coding RNA, 459 nt
Organism: Ananas comosus (pineapple)
Lineage: Eukaryota; Viridiplantae; Streptophyta; Magnoliopsida; Poales; Bromeliaceae
Exons: 3
Source: RefSeq, a predicted model, not a curated record
AAUGAUAAAAUAAAUCAAUAUCUUGUUUUAUUAUUUUUAUCUUGUUAUUAUGAAGAAAGGGAAUGUGGAGAAUCAAAAGGAGCACUUGAUUUUGCUACUUGCAAAUAUUAAUGCGAGGCAUCAUCCUAACCAUUCCCUGCUGGAUGUUGGCACUGUAAAGCACUUGAUGGACAAAGUUUUUGGGAACUACCGUUCUUGGUGUGCCUAUUUGCAUCAUAGACCAAAUUUUGAGCAACUAGGAAAGUUGGAAACACAUCAGUUAGAACUGCUUUACAUUGGUUUGUACUUUCUGAUUUGGGGUGAAGCUUCCAAUGUUCGGUUUAUGCCUGAAUGUAUAUGUUAUAUUUUCCACUUUGUAAGUGUUCUUCUUUUUCGCGUGGUUACUAGUCAUUGUUGGCAAUUGAUUUUUAUUUUUUCAUUAUUAAUCUUGUUAUUAUUUCGUUCCCCUGUUUAUCCCAU